CAGUUGCUCCCUGCAGGAUGCUGGGACAGUUGCAUUGAGGAGGAUCUCCAGCAGGGAGCAGUGCCUGGCUCUUGUGGCGCUCUCCUUUUGCCUUCAGAGCACCAGACCAAACAAAAACACGCUCUGUCCUCCUCUACAAGAGGCUGUCAUUGGCGACUCAGUCAACGUUUUUGGACAGGCUGUUUGCAAGCAGCUCAAAGGCAGGUGAAUGCAUUAUGCAUAAGCAUCAGGGAAAUAAAAAGCCAUGCAGGAAAGCAGCAGAGCUCAGCUGCUUCCUAAACCCAGAGCAUGUUAUGCAAAGGUUGUACCAUGAAGCAGUCCCACCCCUCCAGCUACUGCUCCUGCCAGAGCUUUGGGCUCUUUCACCACUUCCCUCCUUGCCUGGAUUGCUAAGAGAUUAACCAAUUUUAAACAGUCCCAUUUAUCCCAAGACACGGACACGUGAAAUAUCCUGCAGUGAUUGAAGUGCUGAAUCUCCCAGUGUUCGAGAUGAAUCUUCGUUUCACUGGAUCUUCUGACACGUGUUAUUUAAGCAAGAGCCCUCUUAAGUCUUUAUUUGCUUGUGUGUUUUACAUCAAGCAGGAACACAGGAGCUUGCCAUGGAGAUCAGACCUGAGGCCAGUCCACCCUUGUGUCUCAUCCCUGCCAUUGAGCAGAGCUUCAGCAGAGAGCACUGGAGGCUGCAAGACACUAAGCUGGAGGAGGGAUGGCUUCACUGCGUUGGAGGUGAUUUAAUCCUCAGUUGGCCAUGCCUCAGACGGCUCUGCUGCUGCAGGUGCCUUGCUGCAAGGGGCCCAGGAAGUGCUGAGCUUUCUCAAGAGCACUGAAACCCCCUUCUCUCCAAGUUGUCUCAUGCAGCAGAUGAUGGCUUUGUGAAGAGCAAAGCAGAGGACCCUUUACAAUAAGAGGAGUGUGUGCUUUGCUGAGUGCAGAGUGUUUGCAGCUCUUAAUGAUGCAGAACCUCUGUUAGGUGGCUGUGGGAAAGGGGUGACUGAGCUGUGUGCAGGACCUGUUAAUAUUUGUUUCACACUAACAAAGGCUGGAAUGUCGCAGGCAGGAGGAAUGGUUCUUUGCUUUUGGGCCCACAGAACUCUUAACACAUCUGCUUUCUGCUCUGCACUAAAGGCUGAGCCCAUUGCAAACUAACACAGCAUCCCAGUGUUUGCAACAGAGCAAUUCUAACUGCCCUAGCUUGCAGCAUUCCCAGCAUUCAAACACAGUUACACCCUCAACAGAAUCAGUGUCUGGAAGCCCAGGGUCUUACUGACAUCGCUAUGAAACAGUUCUGAGCUUUCGUUUAGCACAGCUUGUGCCACAUGAUGGAGACCAAGAAAUGAAGAUCAGCCUUUGACCAUUUGUUUGCUUUGUCCAUGUUAGGUUGGGCCAGGGGGGAAACCAGAAAACAGCACAAGGCAGUAACUCACAGAAACCAGAGGGAGCAGUUACAGAACUAAGAAGCUGCAGUGGAAUCAUAGGGGAUGAAAUUCACUGCUACAGAAUCCACCACUGCUCAAGUCCGGGCCUGUCUCUUGGAUGCCUCCCGCACUGUGAAGCGAUGCCAGAGAAGGCAGGAGGCUCCAUCCUCCUGCCCUCCUUGGGAAGGAAACACCAUAACUCAAACCCACCCUUGAACGUUAUCCUGAGCAUCUUUAAGAAGACAGGAAUAGAAACAGGGAGGCUUCCAGUAAGACUGGACCUUCUGUGACAUCCAGAGGGUAAGUGCUGGACAAAGAAAGGCUUAUGGAGGAAAGGAAGCUGAGGAAUCCAACAGCUGAAGUUCAGGGAUAGCACAGGUAAAAGUAUAAAUCGCAGUGCACUAAUACCUUGGUGAGACCCUGCCGUGUACCAAAAGAGGUAACAGGUUUCCAUAAGGUGAUUGUACUAUGCAAAGGAAUGGCAUUUGUACCCUGCAGAGUGAGACGUGCCAGCGUGAGUCACUUUAACCAGGGCAUUCACAGCAUCCUCAUCAUCUGAGCAGGGCUGUUUCCUCACUGGGAAGUUCCUGGCAGUUCAGUGAGACUCCAUGGAAAGCACUUUGCUGUCUCCAUUCUCAUGCCUUGAGGGUGCUCAGCAAUUGAGGUCAGGAAUACAUUCUGUGGUGCUGCUCC
Molecule: long non-coding RNA, 2108 nt
Organism: Neopsephotus bourkii (Bourke's parrot)
Lineage: Eukaryota; Metazoa; Chordata; Aves; Psittaciformes; Psittacidae
Exons: 7
Source: RefSeq, a predicted model, not a curated record